Heterocephalus glaber (naked mole-rat) is the source of this 103-nucleotide small nuclear RNA. The record is from Ensembl. Lineage: Eukaryota; Metazoa; Chordata; Mammalia; Rodentia; Bathyergidae.
GCUUGCCUUGGCAGGACAUACAUGAAGCUGGGACAAAACAGAGAAGACUAGCACGGCCCAGGGCAAGGACGACACUCAGAUAUAGGAAGUGUCCAUAUUUUUU